GAUGAACGCUGGCGGCGUGCCUAAUACAUGCAAGUCGAGCGAACAGACGAGGAGCUUGCUCCUCUGACGUUAGCGGCGGACGGGUGAGUAACACGUGGAUAACCUACCUAUAAGACUGGGAUAACUUCGGGAAACCGGAGCUAAUACCGGAUAAUAUAUUGAACCGCAUGGUUCAAUAGUGAAAGACGGUUUUGCUGUCACUUAUAGAUGGAUCCGCGCCGCAUUAGCUAGUUGGUAAGGUAACGGCCUACCAAGGCAACGAUGCGUAGCCGACCUGAGAGGGUGAUAGGCCACACUGGAAGUGAAACACGGUCCAGACUACUACGAGAGGGAGCAGUCGGGAAUCUUCCGCAAUGGGCGAAAGCCUGACGGAGCAACGCCGCGUGAGUGAUGGAGGUCUUGGGAUCGUGAAACUCUGUUAUUAGGGAAGAACAUAUGUGUAAGUAACUAUGCACGUCUUGACGGUACCUGAUCAGAAAGCCACGGCUAACUACGUG
This 497-nucleotide ribosomal RNA is filed under the name uncultured bacterium. RNAcentral describes it as "partial 16S ribosomal RNA". It matches the Rfam family "Bacterial small subunit ribosomal RNA", at positions 28 to 507 of the family's 1533-position model. The record is from RNAcentral.